Molecule: ribosomal RNA, 432 nt
Filed under: Salmonella enterica
Lineage: Bacteria; Pseudomonadati; Pseudomonadota; Gammaproteobacteria; Enterobacterales; Enterobacteriaceae
Also listed under: 6 other names
Description: partial 23S ribosomal RNA
Rfam family: Bacterial large subunit ribosomal RNA
Source: RNAcentral
AAUCCAUAGGUUAAUGAGGCGAACCGGGGGAACUGAAACAUCUAAGUACCCCGAGGAAAAGAAAUCAACCGAGAUUCCCCCAGUAGCGGCGAGCGAACGGGGAGGAGCCCAGAGCCUGAAUCAGCAUGUGUGUUAGUGGAAGCGUCUGGAAAGGCGCGCGAUACAGGGUGACAGCCCCGUACACAAAAGCGCAUGUGCUGUGAGCUCGAUGAGUAGGGCGGGACACGUGGUAUCCUGUCUGAAUAUGGGGGGACCAUCCUCCAAGGCUAAAUACUCCUGACUGACCGAUAGUGAACCAGUACCGUGAGGGAAAGGCGAAAAGAACCCCGGCGAGGGGAGUGAAAAAGAACCUGAAACCGUGUACGUACAAGCAGUGGGAGCACCCUUUGGGGUGUGACUGCGUACCUUUUGUAUAAUGGGUCAGCGACUUAU